This 467-nucleotide ribosomal RNA is filed under the name uncultured bacterium. RNAcentral describes it as "bacterial SSU rRNA". It matches the Rfam family "Bacterial small subunit ribosomal RNA", at positions 330 to 794 of the family's 1533-position model. The record is from RNAcentral.
UCCAGACUCCUACGGGAGGCAGCAGUGAGGAAUAUUGGUCAAUGGGCGCGAGCCUGAACCAGCCAAGUAGCGUGAAGGAUGACUGCCCUACGGGUUGUAAACUUCUUUUAUAAAGGAAUAAAGUGAGGCACGUGUGCCUUUUUGUAUGUACUUUAUGAAUAAGGAUCGGCUAACUCCGUGCCAGUAGCCGCGGUAAUACGGAGGAUCCAAGCGUUAUCCGGAUUUAUUGGGUUUAAAGGGUGCGUAGGCGGAUUGAUAAGUUAGAGGUGAAAUGUCCGAGCUCAACUCGGGAACUGCCUCUAAUACUGUUGAUCUAGAGAGUAGAUGCGGUAGGCGGAAUGUAUGGUGUAGCGGUGAAAUGCUUAGAUAUUGCGCAGAACUCCGAUUGCGAAGGCAGCAUACCGGCGGCGAUCUGACGCUGAGGCACGAAAGCGUGGGUAUCGAACAGGAUUAGAUACCCGGGUAGA